GACCCAUCACGACCCGUUUAGGUAGCUUAUUGUCACGGAGUAACUUCUGACUCACGUGUAGCGACUUAGACUUGAUCUAAGUUAAGCUUUUGUGCCCAACGAUGAUAAGGUUUUGUGGGAAUCAAGUGAUGAUUGCAAGUGUUGCUUACAAAGAAACAACUUAGUAUUGAUUACACGAUGUUUACAAAGGAGAGUUUACAAGUACAAGUGUGGUAACUUGUUAAGAUGUUGGGUUAUGUUUACGCAGCGGAAGUCUUUUGUGAGAAUCACAAGGACAAGUUUUGUAGUGCAAUACUACAACAAAGAUAGAGUUUUGAUUACUUGAACAAGGUUACAAGUGAGAGUGAUUACAACAAGUUGGGUUAUGAAUGAGUUAUGAGAGGUAAUGUGGGGUUUUGAUUAUGGAA
This is a long non-coding RNA of Helianthus annuus (common sunflower), 407 nucleotides long. RefSeq lists it as uncharacterized. NCBI's taxonomy places the organism in Eukaryota, Viridiplantae, Streptophyta, Magnoliopsida, Asterales, Asteraceae. The record is from RefSeq and is a predicted model, not a curated record. The transcript has 3 exons.